Molecule: ribosomal RNA, 324 nt
Filed under: uncultured eukaryote
Lineage: Eukaryota
Description: partial 18S ribosomal RNA
Rfam family: Eukaryotic small subunit ribosomal RNA
Source: RNAcentral
CCCUUAGAUGUUCUGGGCUGCACGCGCGCUACACUGAAGCUAUCAACACGUUUUCCCUCCCUGAGAAGGGCGGGUAACCUUUUGAAUCAGCUUCGUGGUAGGGAUCGGGGCUUGCAAUUGUUCCCCGUGAACCAGGAAUUCCUAGUAGACGCGAGUCAUAAGCUCGCAUCGAUUAAGUCCCUGCCCUUUGUACACACCGCCCGUCGCUACUACCGAUUGAACGUUUUAGUGAGGCAUUUUGACCGACGCAUCUCAGUUUAACCGCUGGUUUGUGUUGGAAAGACUUCCAAACUUGAGCGUUUAGAGGAAGUAAAAGUCGUAACA